GCUGUAGCUCAGUGGGAGAACAUCUGGUUUGUGUCCAGAAGGUUCCAGGUUCAAUCCUUGGCAUCUCCA
This is a non-coding RNA of Podarcis lilfordi (Lilford's wall lizard), 69 nucleotides long. The record is from the annotation of a GenBank genome assembly. NCBI's taxonomy places the organism in Eukaryota, Metazoa, Chordata, Lepidosauria, Squamata, Lacertidae.